This 589-nucleotide ribosomal RNA is filed under the name uncultured bacterium. RNAcentral's name for it is "partial 16S ribosomal RNA". It matches the Rfam family "Bacterial small subunit ribosomal RNA", at positions 355 to 1376 of the family's 1533-position model. The record is from RNAcentral.
UGGGGAAUAUUGGACAAUGGGCGCAAGCCUGAUCCAGCAAUGCCGCGUGUGUGAAGAAGGCCUUCGGGUUGUAAAGCACUUUUAUCAGGAGCGAAACGCUGUCGGCUAAUACCCGGCGGAACUGACGGUACCUGAGGAAUAAGCACCGGCUAACUUCGUGCCAGCAGCCGCGGUAAUACGAAGGGUGCAAGCGUUAAUCGGAAUUACUGGGCGUAAAGCGUGCGUAGGCGGUUUCUUAAGUCUGCUGUGAAAUCCCCGGGCUCAACCUGGGAAUGGCAGUGGAUACUGGGAGGCUAGAGUGUGUCAGAGGGUGGUGGAAUUCCCGGUGUAGCGGUGAAAUGCGUAGAGAUCGGGAGGAACAUCAGUGGCGAAGGCGGCCACCUGGGACAACACUGACGCUGAGGCACGAAAGCGUGGGGAGCAAACAGGAUUAGAUACCCUGGUAGUCCACGCCCUAAAGCGAUGCGAACUGGAUGUUGGUCUCAACUCGGAGAUCAGUGUCGAAGCUAACGCGUUAAGUUCGCCGCCUGGGGAGUACGGUCGCAAGACUGAAACUCAAAGGAAUUGACGGGGUCAUAGCUGUUUCCUG